GACGAACGCUGGCGGCGUGCUUAACACAUGCAAGUCGAACGGAAAGGCCCUGCUUGCAGGGUACUCGAGUGGCGCACGGGUGAGUAACACGUGGGUUCUCUGCCCUGCACUUCGGGAUCAGCCUGGGACACUGGGUCUAAUACCGGAUAGGCGCCAUUUUCAGUGUGAUGGUUGGAAAGUUUUUUCGGUGUUGGAUGGACUCGCGGCCUAUCAGCUUGUUGGUGGGGUAAUGGCCUACCAAGGCGGCGACGGGUAGCCGGCCUGAGAGGGUGGACAGCCACAUUGGGACUGAGAUACGGCCCAGACUCCUACGGGAGGCAGCAGUGGGGAAUAUUGCACAAUGGGCGCAAGCCUGAUGCAGCGACGCCGCGUGGGGGAUGACGGCCUUCGGGUUGUAAACUCCUUUCGCUAGGGACGAAGCUUUUUGUGACGGUACCUAGAUAAGAAGCACCGGCUAACUACGUG
Molecule: ribosomal RNA, 465 nt
Filed under: uncultured bacterium
Lineage: Bacteria
Description: partial 16S ribosomal RNA
Rfam family: Bacterial small subunit ribosomal RNA
Source: RNAcentral